This 421-nucleotide ribosomal RNA is filed under the name uncultured Bacteroidota bacterium. RNAcentral describes it as "uncultured Bacteroidetes bacterium partial 16S ribosomal RNA". It matches the Rfam family "Bacterial small subunit ribosomal RNA", at positions 355 to 774 of the family's 1533-position model. The record is from RNAcentral. Lineage: Bacteria; Pseudomonadati; Bacteroidota.
UGAGGAAUAUUGGUCAAUGGGCGGAAGCCUGAACCAGCCAUGCCGCGUGCAGGACGACGGCUCUAUGAGUUGUAAACUGCUUUUAUACUAGGGUAAUUAAUCUUACGUGUAGGGUUUUGAAAGUAUAGUAUGAAUAAGGAUCGGCUAACUCCGUGCCAGCAGCCGCGGUAAUACGGAGGAUCCGAGCGUUAUCCGGAUUUAUUGGGUUUAAAGGGUGCGUAGGUUGCACAAUAAGUUAGCGGUCAAAUACACGGGCUUAACCUGUGAGUGCCGUUAAGACUGUUGAGCUAGAGAAUGGUUGCAGCAGGCGGAAUGUGUAGUGUAGCGGUGAAAUGCAUAGAUAUUACACAGAACACCGAUUGCGAAGGCAGCUUGCUAAGUCAUAUCUGACACUGAAGCACGAAAGCGUGGGUAGCGAACG